GCCAUGCACGGUGGCACGUGCCUGUAGUCCCAGCUACUCGAGAGGCUGAGGUGGGAGGAUUGCUUGAGCCCAGGAGUUCUGGGCAGUAGUGCGCUAUGCCAAUCAGGUGUCUGCACUAACUUCAGCAUCAAUAUGGUGACCUCCCAGGAGCAGGGUACCACCAGGUUGCCCAGGUCGGAAACGGAGCAGGUCAAAACUCCUGUGCUCAUCAGUAGUGGGAUCGUGCCUGUGAGUAGCCACUGCACUCCAGCCUGGACAACAUACUGAGACCCCGUCUCUA
This 280-nucleotide signal recognition particle RNA is filed under the name Callithrix jacchus (white-tufted-ear marmoset). Its description in RNAcentral is "Metazoan signal recognition particle RNA (ENSCJAG00000058533.2)". It matches the Rfam family "Metazoan signal recognition particle RNA". Rfam says of the family: The signal recognition particle (SRP) is a universally conserved ribonucleoprotein. It is involved in the co-translational targeting of proteins to membranes. The record is from Rfam by way of RNAcentral. Lineage: Eukaryota; Metazoa; Chordata; Mammalia; Primates; Cebidae.